This 229-nucleotide ribosomal RNA is filed under the name uncultured bacterium. RNAcentral describes it as "partial 16S ribosomal RNA". It matches the Rfam family "Bacterial small subunit ribosomal RNA", at positions 102 to 334 of the family's 1533-position model. The record is from RNAcentral.
ACGGGUGAGUAAUGUCUGGGAAACUGCCUGAUGGAGGGGGAUAACUACUGGAAACGGUAGCUAAUACCGCAUAACGUCGCAAGACCAAAGAGGGGGACCUUAGGGCCUCUUGCCAUCGGAUGUGCCCAGAUGGGAUUAGCUAGUAGGUGGGGUAACGGCUCACCUAGGCGAUGAUCCCUAGCUGGUCUGAGAGGAUGACCAGCCACACUGGAACUGAGACACGGUCCAG